Molecule: transfer RNA, 94 nt
Filed under: Nocardiopsis dassonvillei
Lineage: Bacteria; Bacillati; Actinomycetota; Actinomycetes; Streptosporangiales; Nocardiopsidaceae
Description: tRNA-Trp(cca)
Source: RNAcentral
GUCGCGGUGCACGACCCCGGCCGCGUGGAUCGCGGCCAGCGCGGUGGCCGUGGAGACGGCCAGGCGGUGCAGUUCGACGCCGCUGCGCGGGCCC